RNAcentral lists this ribosomal RNA (424 nucleotides) under uncultured bacterium. RNAcentral describes it as "bacterial SSU rRNA". It matches the Rfam family "Bacterial small subunit ribosomal RNA", at positions 355 to 776 of the family's 1533-position model. The record is from RNAcentral.
UAAGGAAUAUUGGACAAUGGCCGCAAGGCUGAUCCAGCCAUGCCGCGUGCAGGAAGAAGGACCUAUGGUUUGUAAACUGCUUUUGAACGGGAGAAAACCCCCUGACGUGUCAGGGGCUGAUAGUACCGUUAGAAUAAGCAUCGGCUAACUUCGUGCCAGCAGCCGCGGUAAGACGAAGGAUGCAAGCGUUAUCCGGAUUCAUUGGGUUUAAAGGGUGCGUAGGCGGAUAGGUAAGUCAGUGGUGAAAUCUCGCAGCUUAACUGCGAAACUGCCAUUGAUACUGCUUAUCUAGAGUACAGUUGCCGUUGGCGGAAUAUGACAUGUAGUGGUGAAAUACAUAGAUAUGUCAUAGAACACCGAUUGCGAAGGCAGCUAACGAAGCUGUAACUGACGCUGAGGCACGAAAGUGCGGGGAUCAAACAGG